GUCUAUGGCCAGACCACCCUGAACGCGCCGGAUCUCGUCUUAUCUCUGGAAGCUAAGUAGGGUCAGGCCUGGUUAGUACUUAACUGGGAGACCGCCUGGAAAUACCGGGUACUGUAGGCU
This 120-nucleotide ribosomal RNA is filed under the name Colobus angolensis palliatus. The record is from RNAcentral. Lineage: Eukaryota; Metazoa; Chordata; Mammalia; Primates; Cercopithecidae.